AACGAACGCUGGCGGCAGGCUUAACACAUGCAAGUCGAACGGGCGUAGCAAUACGUCAGUGGCAGACGGGUGAGUAACACGUGGGAACGUCCCCCUCGGUUCGGAAUAACUCAGGGAAACUUGAGCUAAUACCGGAUACGUCCGAGAGGAGAAAGAUUUAUCGCCGAGGGAUCGGCCCGCGUCUGAUUAGCUAGUUGGUGAGGUAAUGGCUCACCAAGGCGACGAUCAGUAGCUGGUCUGAGAGGAUGAUCAGCCACACUGGGACUGAGACACGGCCCAGACUCCUACGGGAGGCAGCAGUGGGGAAUAUUGGACAAUGGGCGCAAGCUUGAUCCAGCCAUGCCGCGUGAGUGAUGAAGGCCUUAGGGUUGUAAAGCUCUUUUGCCAGGGAAGAUAAUGACUGUACCUGGAGAAUAAGCCCCGGCUAACUUCGUGCCAGCAGCCGCGGUAA
RNAcentral lists this ribosomal RNA (451 nucleotides) under uncultured bacterium. RNAcentral's name for it is "partial 16S ribosomal RNA". It matches the Rfam family "Bacterial small subunit ribosomal RNA", at positions 29 to 523 of the family's 1533-position model. The record is from RNAcentral.